ACUCAAAUGAAUAGACGGGGGCCCGCACAAGCAGUGGAGCAUGUGGUUUAAUUGGAUGCUACGCCAAGAACCUUACCAAGACUUGACUUCCCAGUGUAACCUUGUAGAAAUACGAGGCCCCUUCGGGCACUGGAGACAGGUGGUGCAUGGUUGUCGUCAGCUCGUGCCGUGAGGUGUUGGAUUAAGUUCCGCAACGAGCGCAACCCUCGUGUUUAGUUGCCAUCAUUCAGUUGGGCACUCUAGACAGACUGCCGGCGUCAAGCCGGAGGAAGGUGGGGAUGACGUCAAAUCAUCAUGCCCCUUACGUCUUGGGCUACACACGUGCUACAAUGGACGGUACAAUAGGUUGCCACACCGCGAGGUGGAGCGAAUCCCCAAAGCCGUCCUCAGUUCGGAUUGCAGGCUGCAACCCGCCUGCAUGAAGCUGGAAUUGCUAGUAACCGUGCAUCAGCAUGGCGCGGUGAAUACGUACCCGGGCCUUGCACACACCGCCCGU
This 496-nucleotide ribosomal RNA is filed under the name uncultured bacterium. RNAcentral's name for it is "partial 16S ribosomal RNA". It matches the Rfam family "Bacterial small subunit ribosomal RNA", at positions 899 to 1397 of the family's 1533-position model. The record is from RNAcentral.